UUUCAGACUAUGUAUUUCUCUAAAACAGAAUUCUCUACCUUUCCUCUCCCUUCUUUCUAGAUUUUCUCACUGAAGAUUCAUCAAAUCGGUGAUCAGAAGCUUCCUAGACGAUUCAGACGUCAAGAGCUUCCUAUCUAACCGAUCAAUUGUGUUUAGAACUGGUGUUCUUAGGAUUCUCUUGCGGUUCAAACAAAUUUGCUGAAUGUGUAGAAGCUGUUCGGUUCUGUUAAAGGAUAAGAUCUUCCUAAGGACUUAACAAGUUUGAAACCACCAUUGGCCAACCUAUGAGCCAGGCUAGAGCAGAGCAACCUAUGACUUGAAAAUUUUGCUGCUCGUGUAGCAUGGCCUGGGGGCCAGGCCCCUACUGAUGGGGGAGGUGGAGCAGUUGCGGAGUAUAAGCUACUGUGGGAGGAAGAUGUUGCAGAUGAAAGUGAAGCUAGUAUCCUACACUACUGGAGCUGCAAAGAGUCCAUUCUAAAUUCGGUUUUUCAGUUUUAAUUUUGAAGUUUUAUUUGCUUUCAGUAUUUGUGUUUUGGAUUUCUUUUUUACUUGCCUUGUGAAUAGUUCUUGUGUAAUUGGUCUGGUGAUUUGAGUGAAUCAUUUUCUAUGCUUGAAUUGAAUACAAAUCUGUUGUGCUUGCUCUUUAUCCAUGAGAAUUGUUUUGAAAAUCUAAUUGAGAUUAUGUGGUUGAGCCUGUUGAACAGAGAUUGUGGUUGCUUGUAUAUGUUUAGAUAGAUGCUUGGUUUUAAUUGUGAUCAAUAUUCUUGGCAUGAUGUUUAUCAAAUUUUGGAACCUUGAGUAAACAUGUGAGAUGUUGUGCCUCAGAGUUUAUUGUUGAAUGUUAUUACUUUGGAAUCACAGUUGAUUUUGCCUGAGUUUCUCUAUUUGAACUAGUUACUUGCAUGUUACAAAUGAUCAAGGCCAUCUUGUUCUUCCACCUCUUCUACAUUUUGAACCUAAAAGCCAAUGUAUAACCUUUGAACCUUAAAGAAAACUUUCUCAUUCCCGAAACCUUAAGCCUAUUGAAAAAUCCUUAACCUCCUUACCUUGAGUUGAGAUGAACAUAUAUGUUAGAGUGAGGAGAAUGGUCUAAGUUUGGGGGAGUUCUUGUCAAAAGGGGAGCAUUGAGAAAAACAAUAAGAUGAGUAAAAAGAAAGAAAAAGAAGAAAUAAGAAGAAAGACAAAAACAUGAAUUCAAUGAAAAAGAGUUGGGAAAUAGGUUGAGAAGUGGGUUAUUCAAUUUUGGAGAAAAAGAGAUACUAAGUUAUAUCAUGAAUUAAAUUGUUUGGUCUCUUAUCUCAAGGUGCUUUGUUGUCCAGAAAAACCAAUUUUUCUUCUUAGCCCAGCCACAAUACAAGCCAAUCAAAGUCCUUGUGAUGUAACUUGCUUGUAAAUGUGUUUGAAAUUGUUGAAACAAAAGGCAAAGUUGAUUUGUGUAACAUUGUGAUAUUUGAGAGUUAGACACACAUCCUUAUACACCAUUGUGCUUGAGUGAGACACUUUCCUUGGUGAGGAUUGGUUCCAUGCACUCAUUGAAAACAACUUGCCAUGUUUGUUGAUCUAUCAAUUGCAUCUAUCAUGUGACUUUGAACUUGUGAGCACCAUGAUUGAAGUUUAGCUUGCUAAGACUAUAUUGUCUCUUGAAUGUGAUUUAUAAGUUGAGCAAGCACGAUUGAUUUUGUUUAUUUGAUUGAAACUAUGCUUGAGUUGCUAGACCAUUGUGAUUGAAUUGUCUGCUAGGAGAAGUACUUUUGCUUGAGGACAAGCAAAAUUGUAAGUUUGGGGGUAUUUUGAUAAUGCUAAAUUAUACCAUAUUUUAAGCAUCAUUUUAGUAGCAAAAUCAACUCCUUUCUAACUUAUAACUUGCUUAAUCCUCUUGUUUUGUCUUGUUUUCUAUAUAUUUGUGUUUUUGGCUACUUUGAUGUACUUUCAUCAAUAAUCCCUUAUUUUGUAGCUAAAAAUGAGCUUGGAAGACUCUCCAACAAUGUCUAAGGCUGAACCAACCACUAGAAGCGAGCAGAUCUGCAGAAAAAGUGAAAAUGAUGCAGUGCUGAAAAGUCAGGCCCAAGCCCCCCUGGCUGAGGGGCGCCCAAGCGCGACUGCACCAGGGCCAGUUUCUGCACAGAAAAGUGACCAGGUGCCAGUUUUGUGUGCUGGUCGCGCCCGGGCGUGAAAAAGGGGCGCCCGGGCGCGACUUUUUGCGAGAAGCUUGCGCCCGGGCGUGAGAAAUGGGGCGCCCAGGCGCGACUUUUUCCGAGAGGCUCGCGCCCGGGCGCGACUUUUACUGAUGUGGCAGACAGCUUAUUUAACCCUAAAACGCGAAGGGGAAACGGUCUUUGGUCAUUUGGAGGCGCGAUUUCACUCAGAGGAGAGCUUGGAGGGCUGCUAGGGUUCGUGGGAACACUCCCUUCUUCCUCUUGGGUUCUCCUUCUUCUUCCAUCUUCCAUGUUGUAAGCUUUAGGGUUCUCCAUGGAAAUGGAGAACCAAACCCAUCUUGUUGGGAUUAGUUGUAGCCUUUGAAUUCUUGUGUAAUUGUUGAAUGAUUUGAUUAUAUAUAUGCCUUUUCUAUCAAUUGCUAGUAUUCUUGUUUCCAAUCUUAAAGCUUGCAUGUAAUGGGAACGUUCAUGACUUGAUUUUGGGGUUUUAUGGAUUAUGGGAACGUAAGAUGAAACCCGGAACUGAAAUAGGAGUCCUUGUGGGUCAUUGAUUCUAGGAAUGGAAGAUGAUUCACAUGUUGUCUUAGAUCCCAGCCCUUUAAUGCGGGUUUUGCUUGUUAGAUUGCCAAGGAAUUGGGGUUUGAUAAGGAAAACCUAGGCUCUUUCAUCUAAGGAAUUAGGGCUAGAGUGCUUUAGUGGAUUGACUUUAGUAAAUUGAUAGAGAGGAGACGAAAUUAGUCAUACACAAGAGUGCAUUGGUGAAAACUAACCUUAGCAAUGUCAUUUCAUACCAUUUCUAGUCUUUUCCAUUUUCAAG
This is a long non-coding RNA of Vigna angularis (adzuki bean), 2973 nucleotides long. RefSeq lists it as uncharacterized. The record is from RefSeq and is a predicted model, not a curated record. Lineage: Eukaryota; Viridiplantae; Streptophyta; Magnoliopsida; Fabales; Fabaceae. The transcript is spliced from 3 exons.